This 63-nucleotide transfer RNA is filed under the name Cryptocephalus lividimanus. Its description in RNAcentral is "tRNA-His". The record is from RNAcentral. Lineage: Eukaryota; Metazoa; Arthropoda; Insecta; Coleoptera; Chrysomelidae.
AUCUAAAUAGUUUAUUUAAAAUAUUAACUUGUGGCGUUAAUGAAACAUUAUCAGUUUUAGAUA